RNAcentral lists this ribosomal RNA (900 nucleotides) under Cordyceps javanica. Its description in RNAcentral is "partial large subunit ribosomal RNA". It matches the Rfam family "Eukaryotic large subunit ribosomal RNA", at positions 47 to 980 of the family's 3401-position model. The record is from RNAcentral. Lineage: Eukaryota; Fungi; Ascomycota; Sordariomycetes; Hypocreales; Cordycipitaceae.
UAGGGGGGGAAGAACCAACAGGGAUUGCCCCAGUAACGGCGAGUGAAGCGGCAACAGCUCAAAUUUGAAAUCUGGCCCUCGGGUCCGAGUUGUAAUUUGUAGAGGAUGCUUUUGGCGAGGUGCCUUCCGAGUUCCCUGGAACGGGACGCCAUAGAGGGUGAGAGCCCCGUCUGGUCGGACACCGAGCCUCUGUAAAGCUCCUUCGACGAGUCGAGUAGUUUGGGAAUGCUGCUCAAAAUGGGAGGUAUAUGUCUUCUAAAGCUAAAUAUUGGCCAGAGACCGAUAGCGCACAAGUAGAGUGAUCGAAAGAUGAAAAGCACUUUGAAAAGAGGGUUAAAAAGUACGUGAAAUUGUUGAAAGGGAAGCGCCUAUGACCAGACUUGAGCCCGGUGAAUCAUCCAGCGUUCUCGCUGGUGCACUUUGCCGGGCCCAGGCCAGCAUCAGUUUGGCGCGGGGGAUAAAGGUGACGGGAAUGUGGCUCCCUCGGGAGUGUUAUAGCCCGCUACGUAAUACCCUGCGCCGGACUGAGGUACGCGCAUUGCAAGGAUGCUGGCGUAAUGGUCAUCAGCGACCCGUCUUGAAACACGGACCAAGGAGUCGUCUUCGUAUGCGAGUGUUCGGGUGUCAAACCCCUACGCGUAAUGAAAGUGAACGCAGGUGAGAGCUUCGGCGCAUCAUCGACCGAUCCUGAUGUUCUCGGAUGGAUUUGAGUAAGAGCAUACGGGGCCGGACCCGAAAGAAGGUGAACUAUGCCUGUAUAGGGUGAAGCCAGAGGAAACUCUGGUGGAGGCUCGCAGCGGUUCUGACGUGCGAAUCGAUCGUCAAAUAUGGGCAUGGGGGCGAAAGACUAAUCGAACCUUCUAGUAGCUGGUUUCCGCGAGUUUUUCUCUCCCAGAGAAA